RNAcentral lists this ribosomal RNA (468 nucleotides) under uncultured bacterium. RNAcentral describes it as "partial 16S ribosomal RNA". It matches the Rfam family "Bacterial small subunit ribosomal RNA", at positions 28 to 507 of the family's 1533-position model. The record is from RNAcentral.
GACGAACGCUGGCGGCGUGCUUAACACAUGCAAGUCGAACGGAAAGGCCCUGCUUUUGUGGGGUGCUCGAGUGGCGAACGGGUGAGUAACACGUGAGUAACCUGCCCUUGACUUUGGGAUAACUUCAGGAAACUGGGGCUAAUACCGGAUAGGAGCUCCUGCUGCAUGGUGGGGGUUGGAAAGUUUCGGCGGUUGGGGAUGGACUCGCGGCUUAUCAGCUUGUUGGUGGGGUAGUGGCUUACCAAGGCUUUGACGGGUAGCCGGCCUGAGAGGGUGACCGGCCACAUUGGGACUGAGAGACGGCCCAGACUCCUACGGGAGGCAGCAGUGGGGAAUAUUGCACAAUGGGCGGGAGCCUGAUGCAGCAACGCCGCGUGCGGGAUGACGGCCUUCGGGUUAUAAACCGCUUUCGCCUGUGACGAAGCGUGAGUGACGGUAAUGGGUAAAGAAGCACCGGCUAACUACGUG